ACCAAGGCUUCGAUGGGUAGCUGAUGUGAGAGCAUGAUCAGCCACACGGGCACUGAGACACGGGCCCGACUCCUACGGGAGGCAGCAGUGAGGAAUAUUGGUCAAUGGGCGGAAGCCUGAACCAGCCAUGCCGCGUGGGGGACGAAGGCGUUCUGCGUUGUAAACCCCUUUUGUCCGGGAAGAAACCGCCGAUCUCCAUCGGCGUUGACGGUACCGGAGGAAUAAGCACCGGCUAACUCCGUGC
RNAcentral lists this ribosomal RNA (244 nucleotides) under uncultured Segetibacter sp. RNAcentral's name for it is "partial 16S ribosomal RNA". It matches the Rfam family "Bacterial small subunit ribosomal RNA", at positions 267 to 508 of the family's 1533-position model. The record is from RNAcentral. Lineage: Bacteria; Pseudomonadati; Bacteroidota; Chitinophagia; Chitinophagales; Chitinophagaceae.